UAACCACUGGCGAUAUACGUGUAUGUUG
Molecule: non-coding RNA, 28 nt
Submitted as: unclassified sequences
Source: Rfam